RNAcentral lists this ribosomal RNA (525 nucleotides) under uncultured Actinomycetes bacterium. RNAcentral describes it as "bacterial SSU rRNA". It matches the Rfam family "Bacterial small subunit ribosomal RNA", at positions 355 to 871 of the family's 1533-position model. Lineage: Bacteria; Bacillati; Actinomycetota; Actinomycetes. The record is from RNAcentral.
UGGGGAAUCUUGCGCAAUGGGCGAAAGCCUGACGCAGCGACGCCGCGUGCGGGAAGAAGGCCUUCGGGUUGUAAACCGCUUUCAGGAGGGACGAAGCCACUCGGGUUAAUAGCCCAGAGGGUGACGGUACCUUCAGAAGAAGCCCCGGCUAACUACGUGCCAGCAGCCGCGGUAAUACGUAGGGGGCAAGCGUUGUCCGGAUUUAUUGGGCGUAAAGCGCGUGUAGGCGGCCAGGUAGGUCCGUUGUGAAAACUCGAGGCUCAACCUCGAGACGUCGACGGAAACCCUCUGGCUAGAGUUCGGGAGAGGAGAGUGGAAUUCCCGGUGUAGCGGUGAAAUGCGCAGAUAUCGGGAAGAACACCCGUGGCGAAGGCGGCUCUCCGGAACGAUACUGACGCUGAGACGCGAAAGCGUGGGGAGCGGAACAGGAUUAGAUACCCUGGUAGUCCACGCCGUAAACGAUGGGUGCUAGGUGUAGGCGGUGUCGACUCCGUCUGUGCCGAAGCUAACGCAUUAAGCACCCCG